This is a long non-coding RNA of Neodiprion fabricii, 1003 nucleotides long. RefSeq lists it as uncharacterized. The transcript is spliced from 4 exons. NCBI's taxonomy places the organism in Eukaryota, Metazoa, Arthropoda, Insecta, Hymenoptera, Diprionidae. The record is from RefSeq and is a predicted model, not a curated record.
UCGCCAUACCGUAGAAAGAGAAUGACCGGAGAAGAGUUAAUACGACCGUCCCGACGACCAGAAAGGUGUAUAUGUAUAUGCAGAUGUCGCGGCUCAGCCAGCUAUCCCAGUCCAUGAGCCCUGCCUGUGAAACAAAAAGUUAACCCACGUGGAAAGGAAGUAGUCACCACCGCUCGCAAAAACCUGACUGAGGGAGAAGAGGAACAGUAUUGCCGAUAUGGCGCACCAGUUGCCAGCGGAAUUGAGGAACAACCGAUGAACUUACCUCCAGGGGCGCCUCCUGCUCUAUCAUGUCCCCCAUACCGAUCGAAUCUACCGAGGAGAUGCUGGAGUGCCGCGAAAUCAAUCGACUCAGCGGUCGUUGUUCGGGUUUAUUUUCCUCAGGCGGCUCGAGUACCUGGCCGAAGUCCAAUCCUAAUUUUUGAAGCUCUUGGUAUGUUCUGAAAGUAGAAACUUCCGAUAAGGUGAAUUAAAGUACAGAUUUCAGAUACCGCGCAAAACGCAGAAAUCGAUUAUAGUAUAAUUUCUGGCUAUUUCGAACCACCCUGUCAACUCGUGCAUGUAGUAUACAGUUACAGCUUUCUAAUAUAACUUUAGUUAUGCGUUACCCUUGUCCCCAUAUGGCUCCAUCUUUCAACACAAUUAUCUGAUCGACGUGUUUGAGAUACUGCAGCUGGUGGGUGACGAUAAUGCGAGUUUUUUCUUUCAAGUAUCCAUCCACGCACUCGUCGAACAUGUGCUUGCCGACGUGAGCGUCAACAGCACUCAACGGAUCGUCCAUCAGGAAAACCGUACCGCACCAGCGGCUUGAUUGUUCUGUCGAAAAGUAACGGGGAUCUAGUUUAGUCGAGAACUAUAAGCCGUCUUACCGCGCGCGUUGACCACCGGAUAAACUGACCCCCCUCUCGCCAACAACUGUUUUGUCGCCGUAGGGGAAGAGGGUAAAGUCCCGCUUGAGCUGGCACACCUUGACCACUUUGUCGUAUCGUCGCGGAUCCAUUUU